GUAUUUCUAGCUUAUCUGGUAAAGCAUCGGUCUGUGGAACCGAAGAACAGGGUUCGAUCCCCGGAGAUACCCA
RNAcentral lists this transfer RNA (73 nucleotides) under Chryseobacterium gallinarum. Its description in RNAcentral is "tRNA-His". It matches the Rfam family "tRNA". From Rfam's summary of the family: Transfer RNA (tRNA) molecules are approximately 80 nucleotides in length. Their secondary structure includes four short double-helical elements and three loops (D, anti-codon, and T loops). Further hydrogen bonds mediate the characteristic L-shaped molecular structure. tRNAs have two regions of fundamental functional importance: the anti-codon, which is responsible for specific mRNA codon recognition, and the 3' end, to which the tRNAs corresponding amino acid is attached (by aminoacyl-tRNA synthetases). tRNAs cope with the degeneracy of the genetic code in two manners: having more than one tRNA (with a specific anti-codon) for a particular amino acid; and 'wobble' base-pairing, i.e. permitting non-standard base-pairing at the 3rd anti-codon position. RNAcentral also lists the same sequence under 1 other name. Lineage: Bacteria; Pseudomonadati; Bacteroidota; Flavobacteriia; Flavobacteriales; Weeksellaceae. The record is from RNAcentral.